UACGAAGGGGGCUAGCGUUGCUCGGAAUCACUGGGCGUAAAGGGCGUGUAGGCGGGAAGGAAAGUCAGAUGUGAAAUCCCUGGGCUCAACCCAGGAACUGCAUUUGAAACUCCCUUUCUUGAGUACCGGAGAGGAAAGUGGAAUUCCUGGUGUAGAGGUGAAAUUCGUAGAUAUCAGGAGGAACACCGGUGGCGAAGGCGGCUUUCUGGACGGUAACUGACGCUGAGACGCGAAAGCGUGGGGAGCAAACAGG
This 253-nucleotide ribosomal RNA is filed under the name uncultured bacterium. RNAcentral's name for it is "partial 16S ribosomal RNA". It matches the Rfam family "Bacterial small subunit ribosomal RNA", at positions 524 to 776 of the family's 1533-position model. The record is from RNAcentral.